CUAUCACUAUCAUCUCUAGGUUUCAGACUCACAUUUUAAAAUGCAUAUGCUGCAAACAUGGACAGAAGUUGGAUUGCAGUAGACAAGAAGACAAAAUGAGUUGCUGCCAUCCUUUCAUGACCCUUCCAAAUCUAGCAACGGAAAUUCCAAUGCAAAACUUACAGUUUCAGUUGGUUCUGGUAAGUUUGUUAAUUUUUUUUGUUGUUAGAAAAAGCAAUUUGACACCAUAAAAAGACCUACUGUAGAAACAUCACAUCAACACAUAAAUAUAGGAAGAAGAGCAUAGACCAUUUCUCUUUGGGGAAAAAAAGGGGGGGGGAAUUUACUUAAUUUUCUUGAAGCAAACACUGAUUUAAUUUUCAUUGACAUACAUUUAUAAUGAUUUAAAAUUCUUCUGAAACUAAAAGAUUUAUGUGUUUGCCUUCUAAAUUUUAAUAGAAAAACUUUUUUCUCUCUCAGUCUCUCAAGAAAUCUAUAAUAAUCAUGAUAAAAUAUAUAUUCUAUUACAAAGCCCUCUGGUAUCAGGUCUGUUCGCCCUGAAUAACAAUUUAUAAAAGUAAACCAUUAUAGGUCAAUGUAUGGCCUUCCACACGGAACAACAAGCUAUAAACAUGAUAAAGGAUCCCUAAAUUACUAGUGUAAAACCCUUCGAACAGGAACAUCAAUGGUCUAAUCUAUAUAAAAAAAGGAGAAACCAGAAACAAGUAUAAAUAACAUAAACAUACGAAAACUACUGUACAUUUAUGCCAACUAAAAAGCAUGUGUGUUAACCGCACUACCCUUACCUACCUUUAUUUUUAUCCCUACCCUUAAGAUUUUUGUGACAGGUUUUGAUUAAGCACUGUUAAAGUCACAAUAUAGCUCCCAAAGAGUUGUGAAUUUGCUGUCUUUAUUCAUUCAUUUACUACAUGUACAUUGUACAAUGCAGCUAGAUUGAUACAAUAUAUGGUUCUCAAACUCAAAAAAAUGUUUUACAGACUAUGAGCUGGUUUUUUUUUCUCUCUAAAAAUUGGUUACUGUGAGACUUUUUCUUUACAUUUCCUUAGUGCAGGUCAUGUAUCACAGUUAUAAACAUGGAAUUUAGAGAACUUGUACAUGUCUUUACUUCUAUCGUUAAUAAAAUAGAAUCUGAAUAGAAUAUGCUUACAAAUGUAUUCCAAAUUAAAGGGCCCAGAACGGGCAACAUGAGAUUAUAACAUUACAGAUUACUCAGAUAAAACAAAUACAAAAUAACAAUACUGAAGAAAUGAAUUACUUGAUGAUGUGAUUGAUAUCAUAGCAUUUAUGACAUUUACACAAAUUAAUUAUCAUAUCUACAAAACUUUUUUUUUCAAUGAACCAAUGCAUUAUGUGUACAAUGUACAUGUAGAUGUAACUCACUGUACUGAUCAUGCAAAUGUACAAAUAUACAAUAUUUUAUUUCUUAUCAACAGGUUAAUGUUGAAGAUGGAAAAGCACAAAAAUAAUGUUAAAAUGAAAGCAGAUAUGAUAGAGAUCAUAUAGGUAAAUAUAUGAUAUAGUUGAUAAAAAAAAAUGAAUCAAACAAGUCAUAACAAGAGACUACUAAAUAGACAGCAAAUAAGACCUGUGUUGUGGCAUUAUUUGUGAAAUAUAAUCAUAUAUAGAAAUUGGAAAUUGACCAGUUACAAAGUAAAAAUAACACAAAGAACACUAAAAUUAUUAUUUUAUGAUCAAUUAAGGGUCAUAUCAGUACAAUUUACACAACAAUAUUUUCAUUACUCAACAUUGGAAUUGUUCUCUUUAUGAGAAUUAAACCUAGAAAAAAAUAUGUGUUCUUGUCAGCUUGACACUGAGAUCCUCAUUUAUAGUAUACAUGCAUUUAUGGUAAACCUGAAGACUACAUUUGUAUUUUUCAUUUUUGAAAAAAACACUUUUACCAUUAUUACAGCUAUUUUCCUAAUGCGUGUAGAGUAACACUUUGGUAGGUUUGCUUGCUCUGUUUGUAUAAAUAUUGAUUCAAGCUUUGUAAUUAAGGUUGAUAUCUUCAAACAAUAAAUAUAGGCAUAUUUGAACCUUUAUGGAGUACUUUUAAGUUUGAUUAGACGUUAUUGUCAAUUGCAAUUGUACAAUAUACAAACAAACCAUGCAAGCUAACUGAAGUCUUAGAUUUACAUGCCGUAGGAAAUUAGCUGUAAAAUUAAUUAUAUAUUUGUUUCCAAUGCUUAUUGUUUUACCAACUUCAAAUGUUUUGGCUUGUUUUUAAAUUGGUCUAUAUCAGCUAUAGGGUCAAAAGGGUCCAAAUUUAAACUUGAUUUCAUAAAACAAUUGAAUAAUUGGUGUUCUUUGAUAUUAUGCAAAAUUAAAUGGUGUAUUGUACUUUUUUGGGUUAAAUACUUCUUAUAUGUUUAGAUUUUUAAUAUUCGUUUUCAAAUUGCAAAAAAGAUAAAAAAAAAAAAAAACCUUUGUUAGUUUAUUAAAAUAUUAUUGAAGUUUUUUUUGUUAUCAUGCAUUAAGCAUGUUUAGAUUUAUGAUUUGGGCUCAGUUUUCAAGUUGAUUCAAAUUGGGGUCCAAACUUAAACUUUGUUUAAAUUCUUUAAAAAUUGCAUAUAUGGGGUUCUUUGAUAUGAUAAAUCUAAUCAUGUCUUUUAGACUUUAGAUUUUGGAUAUUGACACAAGUCCAAUUUCAAAAUCAUCAGUUCUUUUACCAGAAACCUACAUGUAUGAUGUGUCUAAUAAUUCAUCACAAUCCAAAUUCUGAACUGUAUCAUGUGAAUCAAGUUCGAAUGUAGUGUCUAUAUAGUGUCCCCCCCCCCACCUGAUGAAGGUGCAAUCUCUGCAUUUGUAAUAGAAUGUACCCUUGAGCUGUUUUAUUCUCAUUGUUGAAGGUUGUACAGAGGCAUUCAUUUCAUUUGAACUUUUGUGGAUAUUUGUCUCAUUUGCAAUCAAUACUCAUCUCCCUAUUUUUGUAUUGUCAUAACGUCAUAAAUACAAGAUGAAAUCUGUAAAAUUAACUUCAUUAAAAUUAAGUUUGCUGCAGCUUGGAAUAAGAAAAAAAUCUAAUUUAGGUCCAUUUUUAGCUAGUAUACUUUUAUUUCUUAUUCUAUGUACUGGAAUGUCAGAGUUGUGAUAAUCGAAAACACAUUUUUACACUAAGACAAAGUUAAUAAGUAAUUUCUUUUUAGGAAAUUUCAAUCAUUUAAUGGAUAACAAUUGUUUUCUUAUUAUUUUUUACAGACAUUUGGUGAUCCAAAAAUAAGUGGAGUUCAUGAAAGAAGACUGAUUGCUG
This 3247-nucleotide long non-coding RNA is filed under the name Mytilus galloprovincialis (Mediterranean mussel). The record is from RNAcentral. Lineage: Eukaryota; Metazoa; Mollusca; Bivalvia; Mytilida; Mytilidae.